UACGUAGGGCGCAAGCGUUGUCCGGAUUUAUUGGGCGUAAAGAGCUCGUAGGCGGCUUGUCGCGUCGUUCGUGAAAACCCGGGGCUCAACUCCGGGACUUGCGGGCGAUACGGGCAGGCUAGAGUUCGGUAGGGGAGACUGGAAUUCCGUGGUGUAGCGGGUGAAAUGCGCAGGAUAAUCAGGAGGAACACCGGUGGCGAAGGCGGGUCUCUGGGCCGAUGACUGACGCUGAGGAGCGAAAGCGUGGGGAGCGAACAGG
RNAcentral lists this ribosomal RNA (259 nucleotides) under uncultured bacterium. Its description in RNAcentral is "partial 16S ribosomal RNA". It matches the Rfam family "Bacterial small subunit ribosomal RNA", at positions 524 to 776 of the family's 1533-position model. The record is from RNAcentral.